CGGGGUGCAGCAGGCGCGAAAACUUUACAAUGCUGGCAACAGCGAUAAGGGGACCUCGAGUGCCAGGAUACAAUCUUGGCUGUCGCGAUGCCUAAAAAGCAUUGCAUAGCAAGGGCCGGGCAAGACCGGUGCCAGCCGCCGCGGUAACACCGGCGGCUCGAGUGGUAACCGCUAUUAUUGGGUCUAAAGGGUCUGUAGCCGGCCGGAUAAGUCUUUUGGGAAAUCCAGCUGCUCAACAGUUGGGCUUUCAGAAGAUACUGUUCGGCUCGAGACCGGGAGAGGUGAGAGGUACUUCAGGGGUAGGGGUGAAAUCUUGUAAUCCUUGAAGGACCACCAGUGGCGAAGGCGUCUCACCAGAACGGAUCUGACGGCAAGGGACGAAAGCUAGGGGCACGAACCGGAUUAGAUACCCGGGUAGUCCUAGCCGUAAACGAUACUCGCUAGGUGUCAGCCACGGUGCGACCGUGGUUGGUGCCGUAGGGAAGCCGUGAAGCGAGCCACCUGGGAAGUACGGCCGCAAGGCUGAAACUUAAAGGAAUUGGCGGGGGAGCA
Molecule: ribosomal RNA, 552 nt
Filed under: uncultured archaeon
Lineage: Archaea
Description: bacterial SSU rRNA
Rfam family: Archaeal small subunit ribosomal RNA
Source: RNAcentral